AACGCGAAGAACCUUACCAGCUUUUGACAUGCCUCGACGGUUUCCAGAGAUGGAUUCCUUCCCGCAAGGGACGGGGACACAGGUGCUGCAUGGCUGUCGUCAGCUCGUGUCGUGAGAUGUUGGGUUAAGUCCCGCAACGAGCGCAACCCUUAUCUCCAGUUGCCAUCAUUCAGUUGGGCACUCUGGCGAAACCGCCUCGGAUAACGGGGAGGAAGGUGGGGAUGACGUCAAGUCCUCAUGGCCUUUAUGUCCAGGGCUACACACGUGCUACAAUGGCCGGUAUAAACCGCUGCAAACCCGCGAGGGGGAGCUAAUCGGAAAAAGCCGGCCUCAGUUCGGAUUGCAGUCUGCAACUCGACUGCAUGAAGCUGGAAUCGCUAGUAAUCGCAGAUCAGAAUGCUGCGGUGAAUACGUUCCCGGGCCUUGUACACACCGAGACGAC
RNAcentral lists this ribosomal RNA (442 nucleotides) under uncultured bacterium. Its description in RNAcentral is "bacterial SSU rRNA". It matches the Rfam family "Bacterial small subunit ribosomal RNA", at positions 958 to 1398 of the family's 1533-position model. The record is from RNAcentral.